RNAcentral lists this ribosomal RNA (400 nucleotides) under uncultured bacterium. RNAcentral's name for it is "bacterial SSU rRNA". It matches the Rfam family "Bacterial small subunit ribosomal RNA", at positions 355 to 770 of the family's 1533-position model. The record is from RNAcentral.
UGGGGAAUAUUCCGCAAUGGGCGAAAGCCUGACGGAGCGAUACCGCGUGUAGGAUGAAGGCUUUAGGGUCGUAAACUACUGUCGACGGGGAAGAAAAAAAUGACGGUACCCGUAAAGGAAGCACCGGCUAACUCUGUGCCAGCAGCCGCGGUAAGACAGAGGGUGCGAGCGUUGUCCGGAUUUAUUGGGCGUAAAACGUCUGUAGUCGGUUUAUUAAGUCUGUGGUUAAAGAGUCCAGCUCAACUGGAUAAUGCCAUAGAUACUGAUGAACUAGAGUGUGUCAGGGGUUAGUGGAAUUCCCAGUGUAGCGGUGAAAUGCGUAGAUAUUGGGAGGAACUCCGGUGGCGAAGGCGACUAACUGGGGCACAACUGACGAUGAGAGACGAAAGCGUGGGUAGCA